RNAcentral lists this ribosomal RNA (505 nucleotides) under uncultured bacterium. RNAcentral's name for it is "partial 16S ribosomal RNA". It matches the Rfam family "Bacterial small subunit ribosomal RNA", at positions 28 to 507 of the family's 1533-position model. The record is from RNAcentral.
GACGAACGCUGGCGGCGUGCCUAAUACAUGCAAGUAGAACGCACAGUUUAUACCGUAGCUUGCUACACCAUAGACUGUGAGUUGCGAACGGGUGAGUAACGCGUAGGUAACCUGCCUGGUAGCGGGGGAUAACUAUUGGUAACGAUAGCUAAUACCGCAUAAUAUUAAUUAUUGCAUGAUAAUUAAUUGAAAGGUGCAAUUGCACCACUACCAGAUGGACCUGCUUUGUAUUAGCUAGUAGGUGAGGUAACGGCUCACCUAGGCGACGAUACAUAGCCGACCUGUGGGGGUGAAGCGCCCCUCUGGGACUGGAACACGGCCCAGGCUCCGACAGGCGGCAGCGGUAGGGAAGCGUCGGAGAUGGACGGAAGACUGAACGAGGAACGCAGCGGGGGUGAAGAAGGGUUUCGGGUCGGAAAGCUCUGUUGUAAGAGAAGAACGGGUGUGAGAGUGGAAAGUUCACACUGUGACGGUAUCUUACCAGAAAGGGACGGCUAACUACGUG